UACGGAGGGGGUUAGCGUUGUUCGGAAUUACUGGGCGUAAAGCGCGCGUAGGCGGGCUGUUAAGUCAGAGGUGAAAUCCCACGGCUCAACCGUGGAACUGCCUUUGAUACUGGCAGCCUUGAGUUCGAGAGAGGUGAGUGGAAUUCCGAGUGUAGAGGUGAAAUUCGUAGAUAUUCGGAGGAACACCAGUGGCGAAGGCGGCUCACUGGCUCGAUACUGACGCUGAGGUGCGAAAGCGUGGUGAGCAAACAGG
Molecule: ribosomal RNA, 253 nt
Filed under: uncultured bacterium
Lineage: Bacteria
Description: partial 16S ribosomal RNA
Rfam family: Bacterial small subunit ribosomal RNA
Source: RNAcentral